RNAcentral lists this long non-coding RNA (1248 nucleotides) under Equus caballus (horse). Its description in RNAcentral is "lncRNA (ENSECAG00000050115.1)". The record is from RNAcentral. Lineage: Eukaryota; Metazoa; Chordata; Mammalia; Perissodactyla; Equidae.
CCACGAGCCGAAUUCGGAUUCUAACGGGUUCUAAUGAAAAAUGCAGGAGGAUCGGGGUCCAGUUCUCAGAAGAGGGGGCUGGGCUGCGCUGGGCUGGGCUGGUGUCUGGCUAACACAGAGGCUGAGGGAGGGAUGCGCUGGAAUGAACAUGUGGAGCGAGAAGAAGCCCAGACCAGGUUCUUUGUGUGUCUGUGGCCGACUGCCUUCCUCCAGCUGCAAGUGCAGAGAACGUGUGUCACCACAGGGCUCUUGCACUGUCCAGCACACACUCACGCAAGGUUUAUUUUUAUGAAUACAACGUAAAACCAAGAACAUUCCCAGUCCUCGUUAUCUUCCAUAAGAGCAUCUACCAAAUCUAACUGACAGUCCAAACCUGGACAGUCCCAAACCUGACAUGUUGCCCUCCUUCAAUACGAUGACGUCCCCUCCUGAUCAUGUCACUAUAUACUCCCAAUAAGUAUACUGGGUGGUCAUCUUUAUCCAUGUGCAUAUGCUUCUUUGGUAAAAUUUUUUAAAGCAAAUACUUAAAUUUCUCUAUCCCCAACCUCUUUGUCUUCUUAUUACUAGUUAAUUGGUCUUCUGGCUAAUCACUGGGCGGAUUUCUGUCAUCCCUCUGAAUGUAAUCUAUCUGGAAAAUACUUCCUAUCUGGCUCCCAAACCACAGCAAGACCCAGCUGAAUAAUUGACCAAGACACUGCAGGUCUCAGAGAUUCAGCAGGAAUGCAGAUCAGCAAAUACAUCUUCUUAUUUAGUGACUUGGUAAAACUGAUGUUCCCUUGCUCAGAAAUGGUUAUAUUUUACAACCAACUUUUGUUAAUUGACUACUAUGAACACCCUUGUUAAAAUAUAAAUUGGCGUCAGAAACCUCGUGUACAGUUAGUCCUUGGGACCUCUGCCAAAUACAUCAGGUAGGUCCACGGAAUCCGAAAACCUCACAAGAUUCAACCAAAUCUGGCGAGCAUGGACUGUGCUUAAAUAGUGACGAGUACCAAACACCUGCGAAUAUUUAACCAAGAGGACUUGAUGUUGUCCAGCACCAGAGAAGAAGUGGCUCCUUAUGGAUGCCUCAGCGAGGCUGAUGUCACAGGUGGGUCCCGUUUCUGUGACAAGAGGCAGGGUAAGCUGCCCCAUGAUCCAGCCGUUUUAGACAUGACACAGCAAGCUUUAAAACUGACAUUUCAAGCACCCACAAAGAGAUGGAAUGUGUGGCACUUUGUUUUUAUUUGAAUCAUAAGAGAAACAUUUUUA